Molecule: ribosomal RNA, 433 nt
Filed under: uncultured bacterium
Lineage: Bacteria
Description: partial 16S ribosomal RNA
Rfam family: Bacterial small subunit ribosomal RNA
Source: RNAcentral
AACGAACGCUGGCGGCAUGCCUAACACAUGCAAGUCGAACGAGACCUUCGGGUCUAGUGGCGCACGGGUGCGUAACGCGUGGGAACCUGCCCUUAGGUUCGGAAUAACUCCCCGACAGGGGUGCUAAUACCGGAUAAUGUCUUCGGACCAAAGAUUUAUCGCCUUUGGAUGGGCCCGCGUUGGAUUAGCUAGUUGGUAGGGUAAAAGCCUACCAAGGCGACGAUCCAUAGCUGGUCUGAGAGGAUGAUAAGCCACACUGGGACUGAGACACGGCCCAGACUCCUACGGGAGGCAGCAGUGGGGAAUAGUGGACAAUGGGCGAAAGCCUGAUCCAGCAAUGCCGCGUGAGUGAUGAAGGCCUUAGGGUUGUAAAGCUCUUUUACCCGGGAUGAUAAUGACAGUACCGGGAGAAUAAGCUCCGGCUAACUCCGUG